GAGUAAAAGUUGUAUUGAACGGGCAACGUUAGUGACACUGAGGUUUCUACUCGGCUCUCUGGUGAGGAGUUGAGCUAGCCUCGUGUGAGCUAGCGGGUAGCUACUUUUGAAUUCGAGGCAUAGUGUUCUGCAGUUCUGUGUCGCCUUGGACGUCAAGAGUAAGUUAACUUAGCUAUCUGAUGGUUAAGUGUCUUCACGUUUCUUUAACAUCGUCGAUGUAACGUAGGUUGUCGGUUUCUGUGUUGAAGGAGCCAACAUUAGCUUACUUUACCACAUGUUAGCUCAGGCAAUGUGUAGCUAACAUUCGUGUUAUAGGUUCAUUAGUGGCAGGUGGGUUAAGACACCUGAGGGGUCACGUGCUACGCACUUCAUCUAAUAACGACCAUUUUAUUGAAGUGCUUUGAAACUGGUUCCAAGCAGACAUGUAUAGACAAGCUCACAUAUACCGGAGCGGUCAGUCCGGACAGUCACGUGACCAGACACGUUAUUGUACAGACAUUGUCAUCCAAUUUGGAUGGAACAACUUCGUGACCUUAAUGACACCCAGCAACACGAGACGCACACAAGCACCACAGGGGAGGAUCUGCAGCAAAGGGCCCACCGGAAAUCAAACCUUGGCCGCUAUGAUGACGACAACAACAUGGGGCACUUGAGUGUGUGACUACGACUACCAGCAUGAACCUCAACACCUUCUUUGCUGUUCCACUAGUGUGACCCAUGAUCGGAUACAAGUUGUCAAGGAUAAACGGUGAGAGAAUCAUGUCAGCCCACAGACAACCGGUUGACCUGUGAGUCUUCAAGCAGUAAUGAUGACUACGCCUGCCUUAAGUUCCAGUUUCCUGAACAUCAUGUCAUGUCUGCAGGAUAUUCGGUCCCCACCUGUCUUCAGUCUGGACCUAAUGACUCAGACACCAGUCUUGUCGAGGCUAAAUCGAGAGAGGAUCACCUGAUGUCAACAUACGAGUUUUGAAGAAGAACUUCCUGAACUUUGUGUCCGUGUGAGACUCUACCAUGCUGGGUGCCCUCUUCAGUGAAGUCUGGACACAGCGACUCAUUGCUCUUAAUCAACUCUGGGCAAGUGGCUAAUCUUUUGCUUAUUCAUGGGAUAUCCUUCAUGUCCACAUCCUGUUUCUUCAAGAUCUCAACAAUGCUUUGUGAGUAUACAACACAUGUGAGUGGAUCAGUUCAACCUGUUUUUCACAGAAUGUUAGUUUCUUAAGGUUUUCAUCAACGAUGGUUUGUAUCUUGUUUUCCAAAAGGUGUUAUUAAGAUAUUUCCAUUUGUAAUUUACAAUAAUCAAAUGUUGACUGUAAAAUCUAUGCCAACCUAUUGUUAUACACUGUACCAUGUUUUUGCAAAGGAAUUCUGGUGACUUUAAUUGCCAGCAACUUCCUUUGAACUUUGUAAUAAAAUACCGUAACUGUAAAAGUUUACAGUAUAACUGUUGUUUUUACAAAACUUACUGUCAUGUCUCGUAUGUUCACCGUUAAUUGGAACUUUUCAAUAAAGUACCAUAAUAUAUUA
Long non-coding RNA from Pseudoliparis swirei, 1524 nucleotides. RefSeq lists it as uncharacterized. Lineage: Eukaryota; Metazoa; Chordata; Actinopteri; Perciformes; Liparidae. The record is from RefSeq and is a predicted model, not a curated record. The transcript is spliced from 6 exons.